RNAcentral lists this ribosomal RNA (253 nucleotides) under uncultured prokaryote. RNAcentral's name for it is "partial 16S ribosomal RNA". It matches the Rfam family "Bacterial small subunit ribosomal RNA", at positions 524 to 776 of the family's 1533-position model. The record is from RNAcentral.
UACAGAGGUGGCAAGCGUUGUUCGGAAUUAUUGGGCGUAAAGGGCGCGUAGGCGGCCUUGCGUGUCUUUCGUGAAAUCCCUCGGCUUAACUGAGGACGUGCGGAAGAAACUGCAGGGCUGGAGUCCGGGAGAGGGGGGUGGAAUUCUCGGUGUAGCAGUGAAAUGCGUAGAUAUCGAGAGGAACACCAGUGGCGAAGGCGAGUCCCUGGACAAAACCUGACACUGAGGCACGAAAGCUAGGGGAGCAAACAGG